AGAAUUUUGAACACCUGUAUUUUGCAAAUACCCAAUAGUUAUCAUGAUCACAUGAAAAACCACAAUUGUAAUACCUGAGAUUAAAUUACCUGGGUUUUUAUCCUCCUUCUUUAUCCCAAAUCUUACACUGGGAGGGAGCAACUCUUCCAAAUCAUUCAUUAUUUCAUUUGUGGUGGCUGUGUUGUUUCUUCUGUUCUUUUCAUCUUCACGUGUCUUUUUUUUUUUUGUGCCAAUAAAAA
Pelobates cultripes (western spadefoot toad) is the source of this 239-nucleotide non-coding RNA. NCBI's taxonomy places the organism in Eukaryota, Metazoa, Chordata, Amphibia, Anura, Pelobatidae. The record is from the annotation of a GenBank genome assembly.